CUGAGAACUACUUUCCGGUGUGCUCAGCUCCACUGGUUAAUGUUUCCUGGCAGAGGAUGCUUGUUUACUAUCCAUGUGGUAACCUCUGGACAUCCAGUAAUCCAUUCGUUACCCGCACUGAUCAAGUGCAAGCCUAGUGCAGUGAUA
This 147-nucleotide long non-coding RNA is filed under the name Struthio camelus australis. RNAcentral describes it as "lncRNA (ENSSCUG00000003494.1)". Lineage: Eukaryota; Metazoa; Chordata; Aves; Struthioniformes; Struthionidae. The record is from RNAcentral.